CAUAGAUAGGAUCCAUCUGGAAGAUAAUCUUGGUUUUAUUGCCGCGCACGUCGACCCAGUUCGGUGUUCAUAGUCCAGACAGUCUUCACGCUUCCUUCUCAUGUCCCUCUGCUUCUCGACCAUCUCUCGCCUCUCCAACGGCCUUUCGCAGCCUCUCUCUGCAGCUGUGGCGGCCUCUCCUCUGCCCUCUCCGACGGUUUAACAUUUACUCUCCAAGCCUCUUCUUCCGGCUUUUCCGCAGUUGCCAAGUUCAGUUCAGUUCGUUUUUUCUAUUGAAAUCCACAGUGUUGCUAGGACUCAGAAAGAGAGACUAGGAAAUGGAGAAGAAGGAAAAAACUCAACCUCAUCAUCAGAAGAAGCCAGUGCAUCUCUUUUACUGCGCAGACUGUGAAUACCUUGCCCGUAAAGUCGCUGCUCACUCUGACCUCAUUACUCUCCAAUCCAUCAACGGGAGGAAUUUUGAUGUGGAUUUCCAAACCUUUAUAUAAACAAUGCACAAGAAAUGCGAGGUGAACGUGUUGCCUUUCUUGUGUCAUUCAGUUCUCCAGGAGUCAUAUAUGCGUUUCCACGACUGUUUGUUGCUUCCUUCACGUUAGUUUUACCAUUCUUUCCAACUGGCUCCUUUGAGCAAAUGGAAGAAGAAGGGAAUGUUGCAACUGCAUUUACAAUGGUGAGGAUAUUAUCGAAUAUUCCCAUAUCAAGGGGUGGCACCACUAGUCUAGUCAUUUAUGACAUUAAUGCUCUACUGGUUUUUUGCCAUUAUCUUUUAUUAUUGUUACUAUUAUAAUAUAACUGGGAAACUGGUAUUCUACUUUUUCCUUUAUUGUAGUGCUCUACACUCAAAUAUUUUUAAUCGCUGUUACAUUAUCUUUUUAGCAAAUCAUGUCUAAGUGAGUUUUUAUAUAUACCAAAACACCAAAGCUGAGAAGUUACCUGUUAGGCAAGUUUUUAGAAUUUAUUAUAGCGAGUUUCCAUAUUCUAUUCAAUCUUUUUGGUCUCAGUGGACAGUUUGGUUGGAAUUCCUUUUAUGUGAAAUGCUAAAAUUAUCUACUUCUAUUGCAUUGGUAUGGUAGUAGCCUAUUGUCUAUGUGUAAAUAUGUUAUAAUUUUAGCUUAUGUACCAGAACACCAAUGCUGAAAAUUUUCUUGUUAGGCUAGUUUUUGAAAUGUAUUAUAGCAGAUCUUCAUAUUCUAUUAAAUCUUUCUGGUUUCAGUGAACAGUGUGGUUGGAAUUCCUUUCUCUUUGGCAUCUUUUUAUUAUAGCAAGUUCUUUGGCUAGUUUUUAAUUUCUUUCUAUUACAGCAAGUUCUUUGGCAUCUUGAACCUGAAAGGCACUAUGAUCACCAUUGUUGAGAGGAUUUUUAAUAAAAAAAUGGUGAAAAUAUUAUUGGAUUAUUACUUAGGAAGUGAGGGUUGGACAUGUCAUGAAAAACAUUGCAGUUCAUCAUCUCAUAGAAUUUCAUACAUAGGAAGUUCUUUGAAAAUAUCUUAAGAAGGUAAGUUCUUUGGUCAUUUUAGUUAUAAAUUGCUAUUAUUAUGUUGGAUCAAUUUACACUGUACUAGAUUUUAAGUUUUCACUGCAUGCCUUAGGUGAUUUUAAUUUAUGGAACUAAGACCUUCCUAACUUUGGCAAAAUUCAUUCAAAUCCUUACUUUUUCAAAAGUGGAUUGAAUGGUUCUCAAUUUGUUAAUUUCAUAGCACUUCAGUUCUUCUAUUAAAAUAUCAUGCACUUUAGACCUAAGAUAGUACUUUGAGUAACAUUUUAAUUAAUCCAUGAUUUUUCAAUUCAAACUACUUUGUUCCUAGAAAGUCAAAAGAUGAGGGGCUAAAACAUUAUUUCAUCUAAAUGGUAGAGGGACUAGAAAGUUAUUUUGCUUAAAAGGUGAUGGUUUAGAAUGUUAAUUGGAAUGAAUGAAGUCUGUAUUUCUUCAAAAUUCAAUGACUAUUUAAUUCAUUUAUCAAAAACUGAGGGUACCAGUGUGAAUUUUGCUAAAUGUUGGGGCUUUUGUUAUUUACCCUUUAAUAUAUUCUUUACUGGGUUUGCUUUUUGCCUUAUGUCAACAUAUAACCCCUGACCACAUAUUUAGCCCUUAAGAGCAUGCCCAAAUUGUUCUCGUGUCAUCUUCUUUUGUAAGCCUUAGAACAUAUUCUUAGUGUUUGAAGUUACUGUUGAUAUUUGUUGUCAAGUGACAAGUCUCGUCUCUCUCUUUUCUUCUUCUUCUUCUUCUAUUCCUUUUUUUUCCACCUAUAUAUAUAUGUGUGCAUGAAAGAUUUUAUUUUGCGGACCAGGUUUUGCCUUUGUUCGAGACUGGAAUUCCUCUGCUAAAGUAACGUCUUCACCAGCUUCCUGACUCUGAUAGGGUUUGUUGCAUAACAAUGUUGCUUGUUUCUGCCAAUUGCAUAACAAUGUUGCUUGUUGAUAAGCGGCUUUUGUUGGGUUUCUUUUGUUGUGAAUAUAACUCUUCUAUUUCCUUAAGAAUUUCUUAGCCCAAUAGGAAUAGCUCAGUUGCUGUAUCAUGUAUUUCUCCUAUUUAAUAGCAUUAUCUUUCAGAUAGUUGUUGCAUUUCCAGAUGAUGGAGCACAAUUCCCAUGGUUGGUUCAGUACUUUGCUUAUGUAGACUAAGUAUUUUUAUACCCCAAUUGUUGCAUGGUCUCACUAAUUCAUGUUGUUGAGUUUUAGGUGGUGUGCAUUGUGCACAAAGGUUCGCAAAGGUGAUAAGAGAAUAGUUCGACUAAAGAAGGGAAAUCUUGCUGAUUGUCAUGUGGCCAUUGUUGAUGAUUUGGUCCAAUCUGGAGGAACCCUUAUUGAGUUUCAGAUACUCAUCAUCUGUUAAAACACAUCAUAUCCCAAAAUUUUUCUUUUUUAGAGAGGUUACUAAAUGUAAUUGUAGCAGAGAAUUUCUUCUAUGCCUUUCUUGUGUUUGCAUUCUUUUGAAUAAAGGAAAAUUGCUUAUUCUUGGCUA
Molecule: RNA transcript, 2962 nt
Organism: Hevea brasiliensis (rubber tree)
Lineage: Eukaryota; Viridiplantae; Streptophyta; Magnoliopsida; Malpighiales; Euphorbiaceae
Gene name: ribose-phosphate pyrophosphokinase 3, chloroplastic-like
Exons: 3
Source: RefSeq, a predicted model, not a curated record